Molecule: ribosomal RNA, 561 nt
Filed under: Triticum aestivum (bread wheat)
Lineage: Eukaryota; Viridiplantae; Streptophyta; Magnoliopsida; Poales; Poaceae
Description: partial small subunit ribosomal RNA
Source: RNAcentral
AGCCCGGCCGUGCACCGCGUCGAGGUGGCCCUGCGGCUCAAGGGCGUUCCCUACGAGUUCAUCCAGGAGGACCUCAACAACAAGAGUGAGCUGCUGCUGGAGCACAACCCCGUGCACCGCAAGGUGCCGGUGCUCCUCCACGGCGGCCGCCGGCCGGCCCUCUGCGAGUCGCUGGUCAUCGUCGAGUACGUCGACGAGGCCUUCCCCCGUGGCCCCGCUCUCCUGCCGGCCGACCCGCUUCAUCGACGACGAGUGCGGGGCGUGCACGUGGGUGGCGCUGUGGGGGGAGGGCGAGGGAGGCGGUUCUUCGGCGGCGACCACGUCGGCUUCCUCGACGUCGCCGCCAGCGGGCUCGCGUGCUGGCUGGGGGUGUUCGAGGAGAUGGCCGGGGUGGCGCUGCUCGCCGAGGACGAGCACCCGGCGCUGUGCCGGUGGGCGAGGGAGUACGUCGCGGACGAGGCCGUCAGGGGGUGCCUGCGUGACAGGGAGGCGCUGCUCGCCGCGCUGGCCGCCAGGGAGGACAAGUACGUGUCCACCGCCAGGGCAAUGGCUCACAAGUAG